ACAACAUUCAUUGCCCACAGUUCUAGAAGCUGCAAGUUCAAGGUCAGGGUGAAGGCCUGGUCAGGUUCGGAAUCACAGUUGGAAAAUGGUCUCCAAGUAUAUACAUGUGACCUAAGACUGAAAACUUCUGAAGAAUGGUGCCAAAACCCCAAGAUGAAGACAUGAAAGCAAGCAGAGGAAUGGAUUAUAGGAACUGAAGACGAGAGGAGAAUCCCUAAGAAAGUUCGUCAAGGGGGCUAAGAUGCCCUGGUGAUGACACUUAGUGAAGGUGUGUCACUAUGUGCCUGAAAAUUCCACAGAGUUAAUAGCAAAAGUGACCAAGAAGUAGCAUUCAAACUUAGACUAUGUGUGGGGGGGGG
RNAcentral lists this long non-coding RNA (359 nucleotides) under Cricetulus griseus (Chinese hamster). RNAcentral describes it as "lncRNA (ENSCGRG00015030055.1)". Lineage: Eukaryota; Metazoa; Chordata; Mammalia; Rodentia; Cricetidae. The record is from RNAcentral.